AGAUGUCAUGCCUGGCUUGAUUCCCUGAGCUCAAUUAGGAGCAACAAGAAUCACCUGUGCUGGCUGCAGCAAUCAGCCACAGGUGAGUGAGAUCCCCAAAUCAGGUCUCCCAUAAAGAGAAGGAGAGCUAAUUGCUCUGUUUGCUCUCCAAAGGACAAGACCUGUUCCACCUUUCUUUGUCGAGUGCGUCCACAUCAGGCCUGCAGCUCCUCCUGCGUCUGCUAAUGGAUCCAGACUGAUCCCGGGGAGGCCCGGGCUGAGGAGGUGGAGGGGCCAGGAGGAAAACUCGGGGGCCCCGGCGUCUGUGACCCCCGGGGUUGGCCGGGGUCGGCUGGAGAGGAAGCGCGGAGCGGCAGGGGAAGUGGGAGCACCUGUGCAGCUACUCUUGCCUGUAAACAUGGAGCUGCUGCUGCUGCUGUGACUGAGAGUGUCAACAUUAUAACCUCUUCACACUGUCCAUCACGUGUCUACUGAAGCCCACCCUCCUGCUCGCCCAUCAACACGCCAACAGACAGUCGCACAAUCCUCCGAUGCCUCUUCCUUU
Long non-coding RNA from Labrus mixtus (cuckoo wrasse), 544 nucleotides. RefSeq lists it as uncharacterized. The transcript is spliced from 4 exons. The record is from RefSeq and is a predicted model, not a curated record. NCBI's taxonomy places the organism in Eukaryota, Metazoa, Chordata, Actinopteri, Labriformes, Labridae.